This 581-nucleotide ribosomal RNA is filed under the name Trichoderma harzianum. RNAcentral's name for it is "eukaryotic LSU rRNA". The stretch from base 213 to 366 matches the Rfam family "5.8S ribosomal RNA". The record is from RNAcentral. Lineage: Eukaryota; Fungi; Ascomycota; Sordariomycetes; Hypocreales; Hypocreaceae.
AGGGAUCAUUACCGAGUUUACAACUCCCAAACCCAAUGUGAACGUUACCAAACUGUUGCCUCGGCGGGAUCUCUGCCCCGGGUGCGUUGCAGCCCCGGACCAAGGCGCCCGCCGGAGGACCAACCAAAACUCUUAUUGUAUACCCCCUCGCGGGUUUUUUUAUAAUCUGAGCCUUCUCGGCGCCUCUCGUAGGCGUUUCGAAAAUGAAUCAAAACUUUCAACAACGGAUCUCUUGGUUCUGGCAUCGAUGAAGAACGCAGCGAAAUGCGAUAAGUAAUGUGAAUUGCAGAAUUCAGUGAAUCAUCGAAUCUUUGAACGCACAUUGCGCCCGCCAGUAUUCUGGCGGGCAUGCCUGUCCGAGCGUCAUUUCAACCCUCGAACCCCUCCGGGGGGUCGGCGUUGGGGAUCGGCCCUCCCUUAGCGGGGUGGCCGUCUCCGAAAUACAGUGGCGGUCUCGCCGCAGCCUCUCCUGCGCAGUAGUUUGCACACUCGCAUCGGGAGCGCGGCGCGUCCACAGCCGUUAAACACCCAACUUCUGAAAUGUUGACCUCGGAUCAGGUAGGAAUACCCGCUGAACUUAA